This 524-nucleotide ribosomal RNA is filed under the name uncultured bacterium. RNAcentral describes it as "partial 16S ribosomal RNA". It matches the Rfam family "Bacterial small subunit ribosomal RNA", at positions 28 to 523 of the family's 1533-position model. The record is from RNAcentral.
GACGAACGCUGGCGGCGUGCCUAAUACAUGCAAGUCGAGCGCAGGAAACCGUCUGAACCCUUCGGGGGGACGACGGCGGAAUGAGCGGCGGACGGGUGAGUAACACGUAAAGAACCUGCCCACGGGUCUGGGAUAACCACGAGAAAUCGGGGCUAAUACCGGACGGGUCAUCGGACCGCAUGGUCCGAGGAUGAAAGGCGCUCCGGCGUCGCCCGUGGAUGGCUUUGCGGUGCAUUAGCUAGUUGGUGGGGUAACGGCCCACCAAGGCGACGAUGCAGAGCCGACCGGAGAGGGUGAUCGGCCACACUGGGACUGAGACACGGCCCAGACUCCUACGGGAGGCAGCAGUAGGGAAUCUUCCACAAUGGACGAAAGUCUGAUGGAGCAACGCCGCGUGAACGAUGAAGGCCCUCGGGUCGUAAAGUUCUGUUGUAAGGGAAGAACAAGUGCCGCAGGCAAUGGCGGCACCUUGACGGUACCUUGCGAGAAAGCCACGGCUAACUACGUGCCAGCCGCCGCAGUAA